GGGGUGCGGUACCGGUUCGGUCCGGGCCCCGCAAAGCAGCGGCACGGGGGUCGCCAUGGCGUUCUCCAGGUGCUACAGAGUGGCCAUCAUCUCCUGCCUGGUGCUCUGCGUGUCCCUUCUCCUGCCGCGGACAUUCUUGUCUCGGGGCGGCGGGAGGCAGGAGCCUGCGCCGCCCGAGGGGAAGCUUGGUCGCUUUCCACCGAGAAUGAAUUACCAGGCCAUUCCUGACAGCCAAGGUGCCCCUCAUUUCCCAAGGUCUCACCUUGCUGAAGCAGCUGCCAAAGCCAAGGCAGGUGGAGGUGGUGGAAGUGCUGGUGGAACUGGUAGAAGUCUUGUGGGGCAGAUCAUCCCCAUAUAUGGAUUUGGCAUCUUCUUAUAUAUCCUGUACAUUUUAUUUAAGCUGACUUCAAAGGGAAAAACUACUGCUGGAGAGAGGAAAAACCCUACUGCUGCUCCUGGGAACAUGAAGAGGAAAAUCACUGACUAUGAGCUCACCCAACUCCAGGAAAAACUGAGAGAGACAGAAGAAGCUAUGGAAAAAUUAAUCGACAGAGUAGGGCUGAGCUGUGACAGCAGAACUCAAAAUGUUACAACAGACCAGGAGCAAAGGUUGCUUCAUCAACUCCGAGAAAUUACUAGAGUUAUGAAAGAAGGAAAAUUUGUAGAUGACAUCUCUCCUGAGAAGGAAGCUGAAGAAGCUCCUUACAUGGAGGAUUGGGACGGUUACUCAGAAGAGACCUAUCCUGUCUAUAAUUCUGAUUGCUUCAAACGCAAGUGGGACACAAUCCUUGUAGAUUACCCUGACCUGAGCCAGCCCUCUCCAGAGGAGCUGGCAGAAAGACUGGAGGGCUUGGAAGAUGAAGAGCAGCUGUGUGAGGAAACCCUGUUAGCUGAUCUCACUAUAGGUCAUGAUUUAAUGCAGAAAAAUAAUGAGGUAACCGGCAGCAGUGAAGAUGAGAGGGAUCUUCAGCACAGCCACCACCUUGAGGAGUGCUGCUGUUAUUAUGAGGAUGAGGAUCCUGCAGUGAUAGCAGAAAAUGCUGGAUUCUGCUGUGAGAGCUGCAGUGAAGCAGAAGCAGAAGCAGAAGAGUCCACCCAAGAGGACCUGUGUGUGGAGUCAGAAAAUGAAAAUGCAGCAGUGGAAGAGCAGAAAGGUGAUGAUUUGGAUGAAACAGUCACACUGAGGAAGCGCAACACAAAAGGACUUGAGUACUAGAGACACUGAUGGAUGUUAUUUAGGUAGUGAAUGUAGAGGUCAUAAACUGUCAUUUAUGUGGUUUUGUUCCUGAUGAAGACUUCUCUGUGUUCGUGUCCUUGUAGCAAGUUCAUUCCAUGGUAACAGUCACAUCACCUGCUUGCACUGGGAGCCAAUGCACGUGUUCCUUGUGGCUUGUCCUGGCAUUGCCCACAGAGCUCUCUCCUUGCUUCUCAGACUGGUAUCUUGGAGCAGAUUAUUCAGUUCAGUUAUCUGGGAUUCUUCCCAAUUCUGAAGAAAAGCUCCUUGUUUUUGCCCUUUGUAAUCCCAGAGUUACUCAAAUGUCUCUUCUGACUCUCUCAAGAACAUGUGUUUGUGUGCUACCAGUUAUGAGAAAUACUCAAAUCCAUAGAUAUGUAUUUGAGAUUACCAGGAAGCUGGAGGAGAAAGUGUGCCAUCUUUCUCUUACCUGAAUGUUAACUGAUAACAGAACAGGCCAUAGUCACACAUGACUCUUUUUCAAGUGUAUAAUUGCUGUGGUACACCCAAGAAACUUAUUUGUCACUACAAUCGACAAAAUUCAUAUAGUACCCCAAGCUACAGCCCAUUUCCCAGCUUUUUCCAUGCUGUGGCACCAGUUGCCUGAUCUGUGCUGUGUUCCAGGAAGGGCAUGAGCAAGACUGAAAUGUUCAGAGUUGUUCUUUCUUUAUCAUUAGCCAUGGUGAAACAUCUUGGUGAAACUGCCAAGGGAGUGCAGGAAUCAGACCAUACUUUGUGUAAGAGAACACCAAAAAACAUUCCUGGUGACUGAAAAAAGAAUAACUGCCUCUCACUCCUCUGUCCCAACCCCAGCCCAGGAAAGACCCUGAUGCUUGGAGUGUGGACCCACACGUGGACAGCACGAGGGCAGGCUGAGGGAACUGUUCUGGUCAUGAGGCUGCUGAGACACUGGAGCAGGUUUCCCAGAGAAGUUUUGGCUGCUGUAUCCCUGGAAUGUUCACGGUCAGAUUGGCUGGAGCUUUGGGUAACCUGGUCUAGUGAAAGUUACUUGUCAGCCUCACAUCUGUGACUGGAAAAAUCCUGGAACAGAUGCUCUGAGAAGCUAGGAGCAAGCCCAGUAUAUUGAUACUUGGCUCCAGGACUGGUAAAAUCAGGAUUGUCAAAAUUAUGAAAGCUGGGACUCUGGAAAAAAAUUGUAAAAGUUGGACACCCAGUGGAAGCAGUCAAUGUUAUUAGAAGUACAAGUUUACAAGCUCUAUGACGUGCAAGGUAAAAUAAUGUGAAAAUAUAAAAAUCAUUCAUUUCACAUACUGGUAAAUAAAUAGAUAU
RNA transcript from Calypte anna (Anna's hummingbird), 2524 nucleotides. It is a transcript of the gene named RIC3 acetylcholine receptor chaperone, with no coding region annotated. Lineage: Eukaryota; Metazoa; Chordata; Aves; Apodiformes; Trochilidae. The record is from RefSeq and is a predicted model, not a curated record. The transcript has 7 exons.